UUUAUUUUUUAACAGAAAUUUGGUAAUCUAUGAUUUUAUUCGGUGGUUGUCAAGCGAAUGGUUUAGUCCUGAUUUGCUGUUAUUUUUGCCAUAUUGUCUUGCUCCACGAGAGGGCAAUGUUUCUCAGGAAAAAAAAAAAGACCUCAAGCCAACACACUCUGAAGCUGGUUCACACCCAGACACGACCUCUGUAGUUCACGCCCUCCUCCUCCAAAUUGUACUGCAGCAAUUAAAUUCUAUUGCACAUAUAAACAUAAGAUAUAAUACGUGAUGGUAGACAGGUCAAAAUUGUGAUAACCAGUGAAGAGCAGCAGAUCAGGUGGUACAGAGAGAUGAGAGCAAAGAAAAUACAGCAGCUCAAGUGAUGGAGUAAACAUUUGCACAAUCAGAUGUACCUGAUAUCAGCUGAUCAACUGCUUCAUCCAGAUCAGCAUGAGCAGCAGGGUCAGCGUCACCAGAAGCAGGAGCGGUGUGAGGGAAAGCAGGAGUAGUGUGUGGAGCAGCAUGAGGAAAGCCAGAGGAUGAGCAUAAAGACAAGUGUAAGGAACAGGAUGCAGAACAGCAAAAGGAAUGGCAUAUGGGACAGGGUAGGGAACAGGGACGCAAACAGGAAAAGGAAGAGAGUGACCUUACUGCUGCCACUCCAUCCCACAGUGCUAUGGUAAGAACUGCAUUUUCAGCAUUAUGAUUAAAGUCUCACUCUCUCUAUCUCACUGUCACCAUGGUUGUUUGGCCAGCCAGCCCUUUUCUGACCAUCCACCUCAUCAGGGUGAAAUGGGUCAUUGGAGGCCUUCCAGUAUUAGGAUAUUCAUUAUUAAAAGACCACGAGGACCCACUUGGGUGAGUUUGGCGCAGAAGAACUUGACUGACUGCGCAGAGCCCUGACCUCAACCCCAUCAAACACCUUGCGGAUGAACAGGAAAGGGAGAUUGUGAGCCAGGCCAUUUCGUCCAACAUCAGUGCCUGACCUUACAAAUGCUCUACUGCAUGAAUGGCAAACAAUUCCUAUAGAAACACUCCAAAUCUUGUGGAAAGCCUUCCAAAAAGAGUGGAAGCUGUUAUAGCUGCAAAGGGAGACCAACUUCAUAUUAAAAUCUAUGGAUUUAGAAUGGUGUGUAAUGGUCAGGUGUCCCAAUACUUCUGUCUAUUUAGUGUAUCUACACUAACUGUGCUGCAUCAAAUGCAUUACAAACAUUUUGUAAAAAAAGCAGCCAACUCACUUGAUGCCACAUGCAAUCAUUAAAAGUUAUGUCAAAUAUAGUGCGGUUCUGAUACAGUUAAUGUUAAGACAAGUGUUGUGGCAUAUUUCAUUGCCAAAUGCUCAGUUAAAAUUUAGGGAGCUCUGACUUGGAAACAAAGAACAUGCUGGCUGGAGUGCUGUGCAGAUACUCUGACAUUUUAGGCAGACAGUAACUGUAGCACAGGUUAAAUUGCGAUGAACUGAUCCCAAUUAAAUCCAUUCAUAUCCUCCCUGUAACGAGCAUAGUGUAGCAGAGAUGACAUCCUGAAGAGCCAAAGUGAUUCAAGUCAGAUUUUGUAGUUUGAUAUUCCCAACUAGAGUCUCUACUCAGUGAGGGAUGAACCUAUUGUCUAUUGCCUAUCUUUAGUCUGUUCAUCCCAUGUUUUCCUUACAGAAUUUCACUUAAUAAGACUCUUCACUUUUGUGUUUUUGCUUCUGAAAACACAUUUUGUUUCAUAUGACCACAAUAAAAUGUAGACGUAUGUUC
Molecule: long non-coding RNA, 1727 nt
Organism: Scatophagus argus
Lineage: Eukaryota; Metazoa; Chordata; Actinopteri; Scatophagidae
Exons: 3
Source: RefSeq, a predicted model, not a curated record